GCAGUGGUGGUUCAGUGGUAGAAUUCUCACCUUCUAUGCCAGAGAACCUGGGUUUGAUUCCCCGUCAAAGUA
RNAcentral lists this transfer RNA (72 nucleotides) under Loxodonta africana (African savanna elephant). It matches the Rfam family "tRNA". From Rfam's summary of the family: Transfer RNA (tRNA) molecules are approximately 80 nucleotides in length. Their secondary structure includes four short double-helical elements and three loops (D, anti-codon, and T loops). Lineage: Eukaryota; Metazoa; Chordata; Mammalia; Proboscidea; Elephantidae. The record is from Rfam by way of RNAcentral.